RNAcentral lists this ribosomal RNA (403 nucleotides) under bacterium. Its description in RNAcentral is "partial 16S ribosomal RNA". It matches the Rfam family "Bacterial small subunit ribosomal RNA", at positions 355 to 776 of the family's 1533-position model. The record is from RNAcentral.
UGGGGAAUAUUGCACAAUGGGGGAAACCCUGAUGCAGCGACGCCGCGUGAACGAAGAAGGUAUUCGUAUCGUAAAGUUCUGUCCUAUGCGAAGAUAAUGACAGUACCAUAGAAGAAAGCUCCGGCUAAAUACGUGCCAGCAGCCGCGGUAAUACGUAUGGAGCGAGCGUUGUCCGGAAUUAUUGGGCGUAAAGGGUACGCAGGCGGUUUAAUAAGUCGAAUGUUAAAGAUCGGGGCUCAACCCCGUAAAGCAUUGGAAACUGAUAAACUUGAGUAGUGGAGAGGAAAGUGGAAUUCCUAGUGUAGUGGUGAAAUACGUAGAUAUUAGGAGGAAUACCAGUAGCGAAGGCGACUUUCUGGACACAAACUGACGCUGAGGUACGAAAGCGUGGGGAGCAAACAGG